AUUGAACGCUGGCGGCAUGCCUUACACAUGCAAGUCGAACGGCAGCACGGGAGCAAUCCUGGUGGCGAGUGGCGAACGGGUGAGUAAUAUAUCGGAACGUGCCCAGUCGUGGGGGAUAACGUAGCGAAAGCUACGCUAAUACCGCAUACGAUCCAUGGAUGAAAGCGGGGGAUCGCAAGACCUCGCGCGAUUGGAGCGGCCGAUAUCAGAUUAGCUAGUUGGUGGGGUAAAAGCCCACCAAGGCGACGGUCUGUAGCUGGUCUGAGAGGACGACCAGCCACACUGGAACUGAGACACGGUCCAGACUCCGACGGGAGGCAGCAGUGGGGAAUUUUGGACAAUGGGCGAAAGCCUGAUCCAGCAAUGCCGCGUGCAGGACGAAGGCCUUCGGGUUGUAAACUGCUUUUGUACGGAGCGAAACGGUCCUCUCUAAUACAGGGGGCUAAUGACGGUACCGUAAGAAUAAGCACCGGCUAACUACGUGCCAGCCGCCGCCGUAA
RNAcentral lists this ribosomal RNA (500 nucleotides) under uncultured bacterium. Its description in RNAcentral is "partial 16S ribosomal RNA". It matches the Rfam family "Bacterial small subunit ribosomal RNA", at positions 30 to 523 of the family's 1533-position model. The record is from RNAcentral.